UACGUAGGGUGCGAGCGUUGUCCGGAAUUAUUGGGCGUAAAGAGCUUGUAGGCGGUUUGUCGCGUCUGCUGUGAAAAUCCGGGGCUCAACCCCGGACUUGCAGUGGGUACGGGCAGACUAGAGUGUGGUAGGGGAGACUGGAAUUCCUGGUGUAGCGGUGAAAUGCGUAGAUAUCUGGAGGAAUACCGGUGGCGAAGGCGGCAUCCUGGACCGGCAUUGACGCUGAGGAGCGAAAGCCAGGGGAGCAAACGGG
This 253-nucleotide ribosomal RNA is filed under the name uncultured bacterium. Its description in RNAcentral is "partial 16S ribosomal RNA". It matches the Rfam family "Bacterial small subunit ribosomal RNA", at positions 524 to 776 of the family's 1533-position model. The record is from RNAcentral.